Small nucleolar RNA from Arachis stenosperma, 109 nucleotides. The record is from RefSeq and is a predicted model, not a curated record. NCBI's taxonomy places the organism in Eukaryota, Viridiplantae, Streptophyta, Magnoliopsida, Fabales, Fabaceae.
AAAGCAUGUUAGAAGGACACCUUUUGAUCAUCUGCUUGUAUCUUUCCCAAGCUUCAUAGAGGAAUUCACCAUCUUUUUGUUUGAAGGUGUGAACAUCCACUCUGAGCUU